Molecule: small RNA, 130 nt
Filed under: Arabidopsis thaliana (thale cress)
Lineage: Eukaryota; Viridiplantae; Streptophyta; Magnoliopsida; Brassicales; Brassicaceae
Description: ATSL122010
Source: RNAcentral
CGAGCAAAGAAGACAAAAAAAGUAAUGAGCAUCUCAGACAUCGAAAACCCCAUUUGUUUCUUCACUAGCAAUCAAAGUGCAAGGAUAACAAUUUUUUCAUGGAUUCAUCACCGAUGCUCUCUUAUCAAAA